UACAGAGGUCCCAAGCGUUGUUCGGAUUCACUGGGCGUAAAGGGUGCGUAGGCGGUCGGGUAAGUCUGAUGUGAAAUCUCACAGCUUAACUGUGAAACUGCAUUGGAUACUAUUCGGCUUGAGAGUUGGAGGGGGGACUGGAAUUCUUGGUGUAGCAGUGAAAUGCGUAGAUAUCAAGAGGAACACCAGUGGCGAAGGCGAGUCCCUGGACAACUUCUGACGCUGAGGCACGAAAGCUAGGGGAGCAAGCAGG
This 253-nucleotide ribosomal RNA is filed under the name uncultured bacterium. RNAcentral describes it as "partial 16S ribosomal RNA". It matches the Rfam family "Bacterial small subunit ribosomal RNA", at positions 524 to 776 of the family's 1533-position model. The record is from RNAcentral.